CUCCUCCUUUUUGUGGGUUUGAUGUGUCCUUUUACAAAAUGACCAUUAAAAACAUGCCUUUCAUUUAUAAAACUUUAGGGUUAUGUUUAGCACGUUGAGCAGUAGCAUGUUAUUGGUAUCAUAUUUUUUUUUUUUUUUUUUAAAUGCAUUAUUAGUAUUAAUAUUAGAUUUCCAUAAAUGUUUAUUUUGGUCUGAUACAGCUAAUAGUCAUGUGAUGCUAUGAAACUUUUCGUCUAGAGUGGAAAAAGGAUGGGGUUUCAAGUUUUGACUUACAUUUGGACAUCUACGCAUCUUUAAUAUGAGACUUUUCUAUGUUCUUCUACUUUUGAGCUUUGUUUGCUCUCAGGUCACCAGCUCUGAUGCUGGGACAUGUGAGACAGGUUAUUGCAAUGGAAACAUUUACAUUCCUAUCAUCGUAAUUCUCUGUAAUGCAUUACUGCUUUCUUUCGCUGUAAAUAUCUACUUUAUUUGCAUGACAAGAUACAGAGACUCGUGCCAGAACUUUUACAAUAAUUAUAUUGCUGUUUGGUGUAGUGGAACCGCAACUGAGGCUGAGCAAUCAGAUGACCUGGUUCCAAAUGACACACAAUACUCUUCCAGUGAGAAAAGGGAGUGUGAGGAACAGUCAGAAGUGAAACCCAUUGAGUGUGUGUACUCUGCUGUGAAACGUUAAAAAAAGAGGAGACCUCAUCAUAAACAUAUGCUAAAAUUGGUGAUAUAUUCUGCUUUUUUCCCCCUCUCUCUCUCUCUCAAUUUUCAUUAAGUCUAUCUGUAAUGUAUAGUUUUAUAAUAAACAGAUUAAACUUUUUUGGUUUCCA
Cyprinus carpio (common carp) is the source of this 818-nucleotide long non-coding RNA. Lineage: Eukaryota; Metazoa; Chordata; Actinopteri; Cypriniformes; Cyprinidae. The record is from Ensembl.